UAGGGAAUAUUGGGCAAUGGACGCAAGUCUGACCCAGCCAUGCCGCGUGAAGGAUGAAGGCCCUAUGGGUUGUAAACUUCUUUUGUACGGGAAAAAACCUCACCACGUGUGGUGAGCUGAUGGUACCGUGAGAAUAAGGAUCGGCUAACUCCGUGCCAGCAGCCGCGGUAAUACGGAGGAUCCAAGCGUUGUCCGGAUUUAUUGGGUUUAAAGGGUGCGUAGGCGGAUAAUUAAGUCAGUGGUGAAAUCUUGCGGCUCAACCGUAAAAUUGCCAUUGAAACUGAUUAUCUUGAGUACAGUUGAGGUGGGCGGAAUGUAUCAUGUAGCGGUGAAAUGCUUAGAUAUGAUACAGAACACCUAUUGCGAAAGCAGCUCACUAAACUGCAACUGACGCUGAGGCACGAAAGCGUGGGGAUCAAACAG
This 423-nucleotide ribosomal RNA is filed under the name uncultured bacterium. Its description in RNAcentral is "bacterial SSU rRNA". It matches the Rfam family "Bacterial small subunit ribosomal RNA", at positions 355 to 775 of the family's 1533-position model. The record is from RNAcentral.